This 446-nucleotide ribosomal RNA is filed under the name uncultured bacterium. Its description in RNAcentral is "partial 16S ribosomal RNA". It matches the Rfam family "Bacterial small subunit ribosomal RNA", at positions 338 to 795 of the family's 1533-position model. The record is from RNAcentral.
CCUACGGGAGGCAGCAGUCGAGAAUCAUUCACAAUGGGGGAAACCCUGAUGGUGCGACGCCGCGUGGGGGAAUGAAGGUCUUCGGAUUGUAAACCCCUGUCAUGUGGGAGCAAAUUAAAAAGAUAGUACCACAAGAGGAAGAGACGGCUAACUCUGUGCCAGCAGCCGCGGUAAUACAGAGGGCUCAAGCGUUGUUCGGAAUCACUGGGCGUAAAGCGUGCGUAGGCUGUUUCUUAAGUCGUGUGUGAAAGGCGCGGGCUCAACCCGCGGACGGCACAUGAUACUGCGAGACUAGAGUAAGGGAGGGGGAACCGGAAUUCUCGGUGUAGCAGUGAAAUGCGUAGAUAUCGAGAGGAACACUCGUGGCGAAGGCGGGUUCCUGGACAUUAACUGACGCUGAGGCACGAAGGCCAGGGGAGCGAAAGGGAUUAGAUACCCCUGUAGUC